UUCCGGUUGAUCCCGCCGGACCCCACUGCUAUCGGGAUAGGACUAAGACAUGCUAGUCGCGUGGCUCAGCCAAUACGAGUCACGGCAUACAGCUCAGUAACACGUGGCUAACCUGCCCUUGGGACGAGAACACCCCCGGGAAACUGGGGCUAAUUCUCGAUAGGCGAAGAACUCUGGAAUGAGUCUUCACCCAAAAGAAUCUGCGUUACGCUCGUAGGUUUGCCCAAGGAUGGGGCCGCGACCGAUCAGGUUGUUGGUGAGGUAAUGGCUCACCAAGCCUUUUACCGGUGCGGGCCGUGGGAGCGGGAGCCCGGAGAUGGGCACUGAGACAAGGGCCCCAGCCCUACGGGGCGCA
RNAcentral lists this ribosomal RNA (355 nucleotides) under uncultured archaeon. RNAcentral's name for it is "bacterial SSU rRNA". It matches the Rfam family "Archaeal small subunit ribosomal RNA", at positions 1 to 334 of the family's 1478-position model. The record is from RNAcentral.